Molecule: ribosomal RNA, 670 nt
Filed under: Methylobacterium sp. iRII1
Lineage: Bacteria; Pseudomonadati; Pseudomonadota; Alphaproteobacteria; Hyphomicrobiales; Methylobacteriaceae
Description: bacterial SSU rRNA
Rfam family: Bacterial small subunit ribosomal RNA
Source: RNAcentral
UCUUCGGUGUCAGCGGCGGACGGGUGAGUAACGCGUGGGAACGUGCCCUCUGGUUCGGAAUAACUCAGGGAAACUUGAGCUAAUACCGGAUACGCCCUUUUGGGGAAAGGCUUGCUGCCGGAGGAUCGGCCCGCGUCUGAUUAGCUAGUUGGUGAGGUAACGGCUCACCAAGGCGACGAUCAGUAGCUGGUCUGAGAGGAUGAUCAGCCACACUGGGACUGAGACACGGCCCAGACUCCUACGGGAGGCAGCAGUGGGGAAUAUUGGACAAUGGGCGCAAGCCUGAUCCAGCCAUGCCGCGUGAGUGAUGAAGGCCUUAGGGUUGUAAAGCUCUUUUAUCCGGGACGAUAAUGACGGUACCGGAGGAAUAAGCCCCGGCUAACUUCGUGCCAGCAGCCGCGGUAAUACGAAGGGGGCUAGCGUUGCUCGGAAUCACUGGGCGUAAAGGGCGCGUAGGCGGCGUUUUAAGUCGGGGGUGAAAGCCUGUGGCUCAACCACAGAAUGGCCUUCGAUACUGGGACGCUUGAGUAUGGUAGAGGUUGGUGGAACUGCGAGUGUAGAGGUGAAAUUCGUAGAUAUUCGCAAGAACACCGGUGGCGAAGGCGGCCAACUGGACCAUUACUGACGCUGAGGCGCGAAAGCGUGGGGAGCAAACAGGAUUAGAUACCCU